Molecule: ribosomal RNA, 404 nt
Filed under: uncultured bacterium
Lineage: Bacteria
Description: bacterial SSU rRNA
Rfam family: Bacterial small subunit ribosomal RNA
Source: RNAcentral
UAGGGAAUAUUGCGCAAUGGGGGAAACCCUGACGCAGCGAUGCCGCGUGAGUGAAGAAGGCCUUAGGGUUGUAAAACUCUUUCAGUGGUGAAGAUAAUGACGGUAACCACAGAAGAAGCUCCGGCUAACUCCGUGCCAGCAGCCGCGGUAAUACGGAGGGGGCUAACGUUGUUCGGAAUUACUGGGCGUAAAGCGCGCGUAGGCGGAUUAGACAGUUGGGGGUGAAAUCCCGGAGCUUAACUUCGGAACUGCCUUCAAUACUACUAAUCUAGAGUUCGGAAGAGGUGAGUGGAAUUCCUAGUGUAGAGGUGAAAUUCGUAGAUAUUAGGAAGAACAUCAGAGGCGAAGGCGGCUCACUGGUCCGAUACUGACGCUGAGGUGCGAAAGCGUGGGGAGCAAACAGG